RNAcentral lists this ribosomal RNA (497 nucleotides) under uncultured bacterium. RNAcentral's name for it is "partial 16S ribosomal RNA". It matches the Rfam family "Bacterial small subunit ribosomal RNA", at positions 28 to 507 of the family's 1533-position model. The record is from RNAcentral.
GAUGAACGCUGGCGGCGUGCCUAAUACAUGCAAGUCGAGCGAACGGACGAGAAGCUUGCUUCUCUGAUGUUAGCGGCGGACGGGUGAGUAACACGUGGAUAACCUACCUAUAAGACUGGGAUAACUUCGUGAAACCGUAGCUAAUACCGGAUAAUAUUUUGAACCGCAUGGUUCAAAAGUGAAAGACGGUCUUGCUGUCACUUAUAGAUGGAUCCGCGCUGCAUUAGCUAGUUGGUAAGGUAACGGCUUACCAAGGCAACGAUGCAUAGCCGACCUGAGAGGGUGAUCGGCCACACUGGAACUGAGACACGGUCCAGACUCCUACGGGAGGCAGCAGUAGGGAAUCUUCCGCAAUGGGCGAAGGCCUGACGGAGCAACGCCGCGUGAGUGAUGAAGGUCUUCGGAUCGUAAAACUCUGUUAUUAGGGAAGAACAUAUGUGUAAGUAACUGUGCACAUCUUGACGGUACCUAAUCAGAAAGCCACGGCUAACUACGUG